GUGAGGAAUAUUGGUCAAUGGGCGAGAGCCUGAACCAGCCAUGCCGCGUGCAGGAAGACGGCCCUACGGGUUGUAAACUGCUUUUGUGUGGGAAGAAAACGUUCUACGUGUAGGACACUGACGGUACCAUAUGAAUAAGCAUCGGCUAACUCCGUGCCAGCAGCCGCGGUAAUACGGAGGAUGCGAGCGUUAUCCGGAUUUAUUAGGUUUAAAGGGUGUGUAGGCGGACGAUUAAGUCAGUGGUGAAAUCUCAGAGCUUAACUCUGAAACUGCCAUAGAUACUGGUUGUCUUGAGUACAGUUGAAGUAGGCGGAAUGUGUAAUGUAGCGGUGAAAUGCUUAGAUAUUACACAGAACACCGAUUGCGAAGGCAGCUUGCUAAGCUGUUACUGACGCUGAUGCACGAAAGCGUGGGGAGCGAACAGGAUUAGAAACCCCAGUAGUCC
This 445-nucleotide ribosomal RNA is filed under the name uncultured bacterium. Its description in RNAcentral is "bacterial SSU rRNA". It matches the Rfam family "Bacterial small subunit ribosomal RNA", at positions 354 to 796 of the family's 1533-position model. The record is from RNAcentral.